This 305-nucleotide ribosomal RNA is filed under the name uncultured bacterium. Its description in RNAcentral is "bacterial SSU rRNA". It matches the Rfam family "Bacterial small subunit ribosomal RNA", at positions 335 to 658 of the family's 1533-position model. The record is from RNAcentral.
AUCCUACGGGAGGCAGCAGUGGGGAAUAUUGCACAAUGGGCGAAAGCCUGAUGCAGCAACGCCGCGUGAAGGAAGAAGGUCUUCGGAUCGUAAACUUCUGUCCUUGGGGAAGAUAAUGACGGUACCCUUGGAGGAAGCCCCGGCUAACUACGUGCCAGCAGCCGCGGUAAUACGUAGGGGGCAAGCGUUAUCCGGAUUCACUGGGCGUAAAGGGAGCGCAGGCGGCAUGGCAAGUCUGAUGUGAAAACCCGGGGCCCAACCCCGGGAGUGCAUUGGAAACUGCCAGGCUGGAGUGUCGGAGGGGG